UGGGGAAUAUUGCGCAAUGGGCGAAAGCCUGACGCAGCGACGCCGCGUGAGGGAUGAAGGUUUUCGGAUCGUAAACCUCUGUCAGAAGGGAAGAAACCGCACUGUGCUAAUCAGCAGUGCCUUGACGGUACCUUCAAAGGAAGCACCGGCUAACUCCGUGCCAGCAGCCGCGGUAAUACGGAGGGUGCAAGCGUUAAUCGGAAUUACUGGGCGUAAAGCGCACGUAGGCUGCUUUGUAAGUCAGGGGUGAAAUCCCACGGCUCAACCGUGGAACUGCCUUUGAUACUGCUUAGCUUGAAUCCGGGAGAGGGUGGCGGAAUUCCAGGUGUAGGAGUGAAAUCCGUAGAUAUCUGGAGGGACAUCAGUGGCGAAGGCGGCCACCUGGACCGGUAUUGACGCUGAGGUGCGAAAGCGUGGGGAGCAAACAGG
This 429-nucleotide ribosomal RNA is filed under the name Fusobacteriota bacterium. Its description in RNAcentral is "Fusobacteria bacterium partial 16S ribosomal RNA". It matches the Rfam family "Bacterial small subunit ribosomal RNA", at positions 355 to 776 of the family's 1533-position model. The record is from RNAcentral. Lineage: Bacteria; Fusobacteriati; Fusobacteriota.